UUCGGGGGACGAUAACGGCGUCGAGCGGCGGACGGGUGAGUAAUGCCUAGGAAAUUGCCCUGAUGUGGGGGAUAACCAUUGGAAACGAUGGCUAAUACCGCAUGAUGCCUACGGGCCAAAGAGGGGGGACCUUCGGGCCUCUCGCGUCAGGAUAUGCCUAGGUGGGAUUAGCUAGUUGGUGAGGUAAGGGCUCACCAAGGCGACGAUCCCUAGCUGGUCUGAGAGGAUGAUCAGCCACACUGGAACUGAG
Molecule: ribosomal RNA, 250 nt
Filed under: Vibrio parahaemolyticus
Lineage: Bacteria; Pseudomonadati; Pseudomonadota; Gammaproteobacteria; Vibrionales; Vibrionaceae
Description: partial 16S ribosomal RNA
Rfam family: Bacterial small subunit ribosomal RNA
Source: RNAcentral